GGAUUAGAUACCCUGGUAGUCCACGCCGUAAACGAUGAGAACUAGAUGUCGGGAGGAUUUGCCUUUCGGUGUCGCAGCUAACGCGUUAAGUUCUCCGCCUGGGGAGUACGCCGGCAACGGUAAAACUCAAAGGAAUUGACGGGGACCCGCACAAGCGGUGGAGCAUGUGGUUUAAUUCGAUGCAACGCGAAGAACCUUACCUGCCCUUGACAUUGACAGAAUCCUGUAGAGAUACGGGAGUGCUUCGGCCUGGAAAACAGGUGCUGCAUGGCUGUCGUCAGCUCGUGCCG
This 290-nucleotide ribosomal RNA is filed under the name uncultured bacterium. RNAcentral describes it as "partial 16S ribosomal RNA". It matches the Rfam family "Bacterial small subunit ribosomal RNA", at positions 775 to 1067 of the family's 1533-position model. The record is from RNAcentral.